RNAcentral lists this ribosomal RNA (254 nucleotides) under uncultured bacterium. RNAcentral's name for it is "partial 16S ribosomal RNA". It matches the Rfam family "Bacterial small subunit ribosomal RNA", at positions 524 to 776 of the family's 1533-position model. The record is from RNAcentral.
UACAGAGGGGGCUAGCGUUGUUCGGAAUCACUGGGUGUAAAGGGUGCGUAGGCUGUCCGUUAAGUCUGAUGUGAAAGCCCUGGGCUCAACUCAGGAAUUGCAUUGGAAACUGGCGGACUCAGAGUACCGGAGAGGGAAGCGGAAUUCCUGGUGUAGCGGUGAAAUGCGUAGAUACCAGGAGGAACACCGGUGGCGAAAGCGGUUUCCUGGCCGAGUACUGACGCUGAGGCACGAAAGCGUGGGGAGCGAACGGG